Molecule: long non-coding RNA, 3335 nt
Organism: Passer domesticus (house sparrow)
Lineage: Eukaryota; Metazoa; Chordata; Aves; Passeriformes; Passeridae
Exons: 2
Source: RefSeq, a predicted model, not a curated record
CGUGGGCGUGGGGAAGGAAGCGACACAGAGCUGGGGGUAGGAAGAUGAGCUCGAGCUGGAGUGCCUGUGCUGCAAGGAGCAGAAGGAAUUCAGGCUUGCCAGAGUUUCUUAAGUGUGUGUUGGUGUUCUCUGGGAAAUGCAGACGUUUGGGGAAGUGCCUUUGGAGGAGAGGAGCUUGAUUCUCAAGGAAACUGCUUCCCCAGGAGCCCCCAGUGAGGUAGGUGCAAUUACAAUCUGGACCCCAGCUCAUGCUCAGUAUUUACUACAAUCUUAAAUAACAAUAAAGUCAAACACAACAGAUGACUGAUGUUCCUACCUUCUGCUUCCCAAACACAGCCAAGGGUGGCAGCAGCUACAGCUCCAUUCUCCUGAGCUCACAGCACAGCGCAGCUGUUCCAGCCACACCAGCAGGGACCAGCCGCAGGUUGUACAGCCCGUGCCUGAGCCAGGAUCAGAGCACAUUUCCUCUCAGGUAAUGGGAGCCCCGUGCUCUUCCACAAGAGAAUGAAUGUGAAGAAUGCCAGAGCAAAUUCAAGUCUCUUGAGCCUGGUGAAGAUGAAAUCUGCUUCUGUCCUUGUACAGAGCUAUGGGUUUGUUUACGUGGCUUCUCCUUCCCUUUUCUGCCUGGCUUUCUCACCUGCAGUUUUCAGUAGAAAAGUGAAGCCAUAGGUGGAAUAAAUAGACUCCACAACCUGAUGUAGUUAUGAAGUGGGUCUGUAUUGUCAGCACCCGGCACAAGCAAGACAGCUCUCCUGAAAACUUGUGCCUUGAGCCCUGGUCUGAGCCCCAUGUUUUACUCACAAAGGUGCUCCAUAUAGAUGACAUUGCUGAACCUUUUCAUGCAUAUUCAACCCCUGGCCCCGCCUGUCCUUGCCUGGCAUGAUAAUUAGAUCCAUGCCCUUCUGAGCAUGCCUUGUUCAUGGUGGGGGUCACAUAGGAGUCUUUGGUGGUCUCUGAGGCCAAAGACUGUGGUCAUCCUUAUGGCUGAACUUUUCAACUUUUCUCCUUUGUGCGUGUGCUUUGGUCCCUUGGUGCUUCUCUGAGUACGUCUGUCGGUCUUGAUGAGCUUGGAGACAGAGGAGCCCCUUUAUCUGGGUUUCUGCAUCCUUGGUCUUCUCCCAGUAUUGUUCUCUAUGCAAGAAGCUUCUGGUAUUUGCAUUUUUCUAUUCUUUUUGUACUAUGACAGAGGUUUCUUAAAUAAAAGGGUAAAAUUCAACACAUAAUUCUGCAAGCUAAAAUUUAAGUGCUUAAUUCAUAUUGCUAACUCAAGGGAGCUCCAAAAAUCUCUCUUUCAAAAGCAACAAACCUUUGAAAGGUUAAACCUCAACAUAACUGUGAUCCUCAAUCAAUACCUCCUUCUUCCACUUGCUUAAAAUCUCUUUCUCCUGGGCACUCAGUAUGGCCUUUUUCCUGGAAGCUCUUUGGCUGUCUUGAAUGCUUAUGGAGUAACAGGUAAUCCCUGAUCUAUUUUUGACUCUGCCCAGACAGAGACUGCUGGAAGGGAGGUAGGACUGGUACUGGGGACCUGGCAGCUUGUCCAGGAAGAAAAUUAGUGAAAUAAUGGUAAUGUGGACAAGGCAUGCAAGUCCAGGUGGUGAGCUCAAAUAUGCAAGUACUUGCAGUUUCCCCUCAGCACUUGACAGUUAAGGGGUAUGGUCUCUUCUUAUUUCUGUCUCUUAAUCCUCAAUCCUUGCCACACUCCUUCAACAUCUUUUGCAUUGUCAUCUUCCCUGUUUUCUCCCUCCCUUCUUCUUUCUGUGACUUUCUGUACAUGACAGACAAUCUGUCACACACUGUCAGCUGCUCAGUCACCCGAGCAGUGAUAAUGAUGGUGUAGAAAUUGUAGGUGCACAGGAGGCAAAGGUGUCAUGCUUCUGUGUGCCCUCUGCAGGCAAACCUGCUUCCCAAAGCUUCAGUCACACUUGGAACAAAGGCUUGUCCCCACUGCUUUGUUGUGGUUUAUGCAUUGAUGGAGCAACACUUCUGUCUCAGCCCGCUUAAGCCACUGCAAAGCUGGAAUUGUUGCUUUAGCAGCAGAUGUGCUGGCAGGGUUCUUACAGCUCCUUAGUAAGAACUCUGCACUUCUUCUAGAAGAGGUUUCUGAUCUUUGUGCAAUAAAAACAAUGCCUUCAACUGCUGCAGUGCAAGUCAUGCACUCAUGUAGAUGUGUUUUCAGACACAGGUAUUUCUAUAUAUGCCUAGUGAGUGGCCCGUGGGGAGCAGGGACAAACGAGGAAGGAAAGUGGGCUGAUAAAACAUGCUUCUGCUCCAAAAAAAAGCCAUGACUUCCCUUCAUAGAGAAGGAUAUAAAAUUUUUCUUGAUUGGCCUGAAGGGAAUAAAGGGAAUAAACAAGUCUCUCUAUGUCCUGCUCUUUUACUAGUCUGAAAUUGUUCAGAAAGGUUGCAAUUUUUUUUUUUGGUUUUUUGUGGGUUUGUUGUUUUUUUGGUUUUUUUUGUUGUUUUUUUUUUUUUUUUUUUUUUUGUGGUGCGGGGUCAGGUCUGCAUUUCAAGCCUGUUCUCCCAGCAGUCAGGGCCCUGCACAGCUGCUGUGGGUGGGGCAGGUGCUCAGGUAAUUAUCAGCAGGUGCUUGGUAAUUACUGACAGCCAUGUGAGAAGUUGGCUUGUGCCUGGUUGAGGGCUUGAGGGCUGUGCUGAGACAAGGGCUAGGCAGUGGAGUGGAAAAUACAAUUUACACAAGCAGAACCUGCUAUCCCCGUGUGCUUGGAACAGGUGUGGAGGGGCCCCAAGGUAUCCUCAGAAUGGGCUUUGCCCUCACCUUGGCUUGUGCUGCUGCAGAUUUUGGAGACAAUUGUGCAUAAGAACGGGCACUAGAACCAGACUGGGGGCUGGCAUGCUCUGGAUUUCCAGGAUGGCUCAAGGACAGGGUAAGGUGCUGUCGGUGCACUCUGGAUCAAGCUGUGAUUCUAUGGACACUUCAAUAAGAGAGGGUUUUUCAGGGUGAUUAAACCUUCAUCCUUGCUGUGCUUUCUAUGACAUUUGUAUCUCUAUUUUGUAAAACUUCAGAAAUCCAAAUCAUCUUUGGCCCUGUGAAAUGUUACAAACAUCAGCAAAAGUCAUCAUAGUUUGCAUGCGAAAAUACAUAAUUUUUGACAUUUGGGAAUUGGAAAUUCUGAUAAUUUAAAACUGAUUUCUAUUGCUGAUGAUACAGAAAGGGGACAGGUUGGUGCCUUGGGGCUUAUGUCUGCUACUGUUGACUGAAAAAAAUAAUUUGAAGUAGCACCCUAUGACUGUGGAUGGCCAGAACGGAGGUCCAGGAGGCUUGACAGGUGUUUACUACUGAGUCUUUGACCUUUCCUGCCAAGUAAAAAUUAUAA